RNAcentral lists this long non-coding RNA (335 nucleotides) under Vitis vinifera (wine grape). RNAcentral describes it as "long non-coding RNA (VVIN_LNC005501)". The record is from RNAcentral. Lineage: Eukaryota; Viridiplantae; Streptophyta; Magnoliopsida; Vitales; Vitaceae.
CAUUCGAACUCGAGGCCUUGCAGGACUGGGAAUACAAGUUUAUGAGCAAGUAUACCAAGGUUGGAACUAUUAAGAAGACAUUCCCUGUAACCGAUGGGUCCUCCACCGUUGAACCCUCUGAAACCACUGAUCGUGACAUUGCCAAGCCUGCAGAAGAUGGUCCGUCAGAGAGCUUGCCCGCCAAACCUGUGGAAGCCACCACUGGCGGGGAUGCACAGGAGUGAAGUUGAGGUACUUUUGACCACAGCAGUAGGAGCAGUGAACCACCACCCUCGGUGGAGAUUCUGUUAAUGUUAUAUUGUUGGGUGCUUGUGUUUGUUAAUGUGCUUAUAAGU